Long non-coding RNA from Gorilla gorilla gorilla (western lowland gorilla), 647 nucleotides. RefSeq lists it as uncharacterized. The record is from RefSeq and is a predicted model, not a curated record. The transcript is spliced from 2 exons. Lineage: Eukaryota; Metazoa; Chordata; Mammalia; Primates; Hominidae.
ACUUUGGUGGGCAGGCUUUAGCUCUAAAGUUCUUCUAAACCAAAGCUGUGUCAACAUUAAAGCUGGGACUGGACUUCCAAUCUGAGGACCCAGAAGAGUCAGCAUAUCCUACUUAACUUCUAAGGGUAGGGUGACGGGGAAUCUGCCUCUUGGGACCAGGCUGCCACACUGUAAGGAAGUCCAGAGCUGGCGUGAGAGGCUGCACGGAGGCGAACUGAGCGUCCCACUGAGCUACCAGCCGAAUGCAGCCACAGGAGUGACCCCAGCAGAUGCCACAUGGAAUGGAAGAACAACCCAGUCAAGGCACUGGAUCUCGAGGAACUACAAAAGUUGUUUUAAGGCACUAUUUUGCGGGUGUCUUAUUACAUAUGAGAAUAUCCACUGACAUGAUGUGUUAGUCACACUGUUGGAGGAGAAUAUGAGAAAUAUCCAUGGAUCAGUUCCCCUAAGUGAACCCUCUAAUAUUCCUGAGGCAAAAAAAAAUCUACUGUUAGCAGAAUUCAAUACAGCUUACCUCUCCUGUGGAAACCUUUGUUUUAGCCUCACACAUCCUUGGAGAAAAAAAGAAUUCAACUUUACAGAAAAAUAGUAAAAUAGGAGAACUCUUCUUAACUUUCGUGCUCAUUAAAGUGAAAAUUAAUUAAGAA